CAGUCGCCGCGGUAAUACGGAGGGAGCUAGCGUUGUUCGGAAUUACUGGGCGUAAAGCGCACGUAGGCGGUUAUUCAAGUCAGAGGUGAAAGCCCGGGGCUCAACCCCGGAACUGCCUUUGAAACUAGAUGACUAGAAUCUUGGAGAGGUCAGUGGAAUUCCGAGUGUAGAGGUGAAAUUCGUAGAUAUUCGGAAGAACACCAGUGGCGAAGGCGACUGACUGGACAAGUAUUGACGCUGAGGUGCGAAAGCGUGGGGAGCAAACAGGAUUAGAUACCCGAGUAGUCCCUGUCUCUUAUAC
This 301-nucleotide ribosomal RNA is filed under the name uncultured bacterium. Its description in RNAcentral is "partial 16S ribosomal RNA". It matches the Rfam family "Bacterial small subunit ribosomal RNA", at positions 509 to 807 of the family's 1533-position model. The record is from RNAcentral.